GAUGAACGCUGGCGGCGUGCCUAAUACGUGCAGGUCGAGCGAACGGACGAGAAGCUUGCUUCUCUGAUGUUAGCGGCGGACGGGUGAGUAACACGUGGAUAACCUACCUAUAAGACUGGGAUAACUUCGGGAAACCGUAGCUAAUACCGGAUAAUAUUUUGAACCGCAUGGUUCAAAAGUGAAAGACGGUCUUGCUGUCACUUAUAGAUGGAUCCGCGCUGCAUUAGCUAGUUGGUAAGGUAACGGCUUACCAAGGCAACGAUGCAUAGCCGACCUGAGAGGGUGAUCGGCCACACUGGAACUGAGACACGGUCCAGACUCCUACGGGAGGCAGCAGUAGGGAAUCUUCCGCAAUGGGCGAAAGCCUGACGGAGCAACGCCGCGUGAGUGAUGAAGGUCUUCGGAUCGUAAAACUCUGUUAUUAGGGAAGAACAUAUGUGUAAGUAACUGUGCACAUCUUGACGGUACCUAAUCAGAAAGCCACGGCUAACUACGUG
Molecule: ribosomal RNA, 497 nt
Filed under: uncultured bacterium
Lineage: Bacteria
Description: partial 16S ribosomal RNA
Rfam family: Bacterial small subunit ribosomal RNA
Source: RNAcentral